Long non-coding RNA from Mytilus californianus (California mussel), 1764 nucleotides. RefSeq lists it as uncharacterized. NCBI's taxonomy places the organism in Eukaryota, Metazoa, Mollusca, Bivalvia, Mytilida, Mytilidae. The record is from RefSeq and is a predicted model, not a curated record. The transcript is spliced from 3 exons.
AGAAAGUAAUAUUUAAUAACAAUUUUGUUGAACUAGAUAAAUAAGAGAAAAUGGUUUGCUUACCACAGAAGCCUGCUUCUACGUGUUUGAGAAUCAUAGCCUUUCUGCUGUCGCUAGGAGGUUUAGUCCUCUGUAUUGUAUCGUAUUUCUAUCCAGCUUGGACUAAGUUCAGACACAAUGGCGUUACUGGAUCCCUUGGGAUUCAUCAAAUGUGUGCCCGUGAAUCGGAUGGAGAAUGGGACUGUAGAGAUAUCAAAGGAAAAGACAUGCUUUUUUUCCUGUUCCAAGCCUCCUUCUCCAUAGGAAUAGUGGCCUAUACCAUAUUUGUGAUCAUAGUAUCGAUGACAUUUUGCUCCUGUUGUAUCAAAAGUUCCAGGGCUGUCGGAAUGACGAAGUUCUUUGUUGUGAUUGCUGACCUUAUUACAUUCAACUGUUUGAUGAUUGCCAUUGCAACAGGUCUGAAAUCAGAUUUCUUGGGAACAUUAAGAAUAAGUUAUGGUUGUAUCAUGUGCCUAACAGCAUUCGCCAUUGCAGUUGUUUUGUGUCCUUUCUAUCUAAUCGAUGCAAAAAAUACCGCGCGACGAUUUAAAGAAGAGAAAUACAAGAAGUUCUCUAAUAUCCAGGAACCCAUGGAUCCAGAAACUAUCACCAAAACAAACCAGUUGACUCCAGAUAUUUUAUCAGAAGAAAUGAAAAACAACACCAUUUCUCCUUCGUCAACUCAUAUGUGAAAUGAAAUAACGUUUUUUUCAUACUUGCGAAAUAUCAUCAGUCGAAAAAUUUUCCACAAGUGAUGUAUAAAUUAUAAUAUGACUUUUAUAGAAGAAGUUACAUUGGUUUAAUUAUUUGAAAUUAUCGUAACAGUGUACAGUUAUCUACUUGACUCCAUCUAAUUAUUUCUUUAUAUUCAUUGUAUUUUUGUAAAUAUUGUAUAUAGUACAUUGUACUGUUUUAUGUUAUAUAGUAUUACAAGACAAAUAAGAAAUUAUUGUAACAUUUUAAGAUUUCAAUCUUGUAUUUGGUUGGUCGCUAGAAAAUAUAGGGAGUUGCAAAUAUAUUAUAAACCUAAGAAAUUUGCAUAUGUUAAACCCCUCCACAUUUUUGCGCCUGUCCCAAGUCAGGAGCCUCUGGCCUUUGCUAGUCUAGUAUGUUUUUUAAUUUUAGUUCAUUUAUAUGUUUUGGAGUUUAGUGUGACGUCCAUUUUCACUGAGCUAGCACACAAUUUUAGUUAGGGGCCAGCUGAGGACCACCUCCGGGUGCGGGAUUUUCUCGCUGCAUUGAAGACCCAUUGGUGGCCUUCGGCUGUUGUCUGCUCUUUGGUCGGGUUGUUGUCUUUUUGACAUAUUCCCAAUUUCCAUUCUGAAUUUUAUAUGUGUAUGUUGAAACUACCAAAAUAAAUCUUAAGAUGUAAAAAUUGCUAUCCGGUUACACUGUCAACAUUCCAAUAGUGUCCACCAACGCUAUAGUAUAUGAUUUUUAUGCAUUUACUGUAUAGAUUGUUUGUAAUAUUUCAAAUUAAAGAAAAGGUAUGAAAGAAAGAGUCACGUUGUCUAAUAAAAAGGUAUCUUAUUUCACAAUUUCAGUGUUAUAGGUAAGAACUAUCCAGAAUAAAACCCAGUUCUUGUUUGAAUUUCUAAGUUAUUUUGCCUUUAACUUUUUAUAUUUAUCGACAUCUGUAAGGUUGCUACCCCUGUAACUAUAUGCGUGUGGCAUCAAGCUGAAUGUUUUCAAUUCUAUCUUAUAAAUAAACAUUAUGAGCUUUUA